Molecule: ribosomal RNA, 253 nt
Filed under: uncultured bacterium
Lineage: Bacteria
Description: partial 16S ribosomal RNA
Rfam family: Bacterial small subunit ribosomal RNA
Source: RNAcentral
UACGUAUGGUGCAAGCGUUAUCCGGAUUUACUGGGCGUAAAGGGAGCGCAGGCGGCGCGCCAAGUCUGAUGUGAAACCCCAGGGCUCAACCCCGGGCAUGCAUUGGAAACUGGCGGGCUGGAGUGCCGGAGAGGUAAGCGGAAUUCCUAGUGUAGCGGUGAAAUGCGUAGAUAUUAGGAGGAACACCAGUGGCGAAGGCGGCUUACUGGACGGCAACUGACGCUGAGGCUCGAAAGCGUGGGGAGCAAACAGG